CCUACGGGGGGCAGCAGUGAGGAAUAUUGGUCAAUGGACGAGAGUCUGAACCAGCCAAGUAGCGUGAAGGAUGACUGCCCUAUGGGUUGUAAACUUCUUUUAUAUGGGAAUAAAAUGUUCCACGUGUGGGAUUUUGUAUGUACCAUAUGAAUAAGGAUCGGCUAACUCCGUGCCAGCAGCCGCGGUAAUACGGAGGAUCCGAGCGUUAUCCGGAUUUAUUGGGUUUAAAGGGAGCGUAGGUGGAUUGUUAAGUCAGUUGUGAAAGUUUGCGGCUCAACCGUAACAUUGCAGUUGAAACUGGCAGUCUUGAGUACAGAAGAGGUGGGCGGAAUUCGUGGUGUAGCGGUGAAAUGCUUAGAUAUCACGAAGAACUCCGAUUGCGAAGGCAGCUCGCUGGACUGCAACUGACACUGAGGCUCGAAAGUGUGGGUAUCAAACAGGAUUAGAUACCCGAGUAGUC
This 460-nucleotide ribosomal RNA is filed under the name uncultured bacterium. Its description in RNAcentral is "partial 16S ribosomal RNA". It matches the Rfam family "Bacterial small subunit ribosomal RNA", at positions 338 to 795 of the family's 1533-position model. The record is from RNAcentral.